UUUUUUUUUCCUACAGAAAGACCCACAUUGUGCUAAGUGUCUCCAAUGUUUACUUCUCCUGCACAUCCAUUUUCUGAGUUCAGGACAGCCAAUGGCUUUUUGCACAUUUCUAGUUGGAUUCUGCCUCAGAGUUUAAUUUACCCCAAUCUCAGAGUAACCCGUGAUCCUCCUCAUUUGGUCCUCCUAAUCCAUCUGCUGAAGGAGUCAUAUUCAACCUCAGACUCCACCCCCAUCUGUUGCUGCUCAUACCUAAGCACUUACCAAGUCUUUAGGUUGACUUUGUAAACACUGUGCCCUCCCUGUGCAAGAGGAAAGUACCUUUCUCAUCCUCAAGGACAGGAAGUCAAAGUGCAGAGAAAUCUGCACAAACAACCCUUGUUAGACUAUUCCUAUCUUCCUCACCAUUUCUCCAUUGACUUAACUGCCCUGGCCCAAGCCAACUGCCUUAUCACAGUUCCAUGAUUUACUACUCUCGGUCUGAUUUGGUACAUAAGCGUUCAAGUUCAACUCCAAC
This 514-nucleotide long non-coding RNA is filed under the name Marmota monax (woodchuck). Lineage: Eukaryota; Metazoa; Chordata; Mammalia; Rodentia; Sciuridae. The record is from RNAcentral.